GUCUAUUUUUUUCCAGUUUUGUUGAGAUAAAAUUGGAUGUAUUACACAUUCCCCGUGUCUUACACUCCACCUGUAGUUUAUCCUACGCAACCACUGGUGAAUAGUGGGGUGAUCAUGAUGCUACUUCAUGUCAUGAAUUACCUGUGUUCCAUUUCCAACAAGAAAGGAGUUGGUCCAUGAAGUCCUCAAAUACAUGAGCAAAACAUUCUCACAAAUGCAUUUUGAGGCUUUUGUUUCCUAAGGCCACUUUCUAAACUAAUUCCUGAGUCAGUUAGAGUCCUGGCAGGCCAAAGAUGGCAUACUCAAACUGGAUACUUUGAGGAGCCUUUACUAAAGGGAUUAUUUACCAAGGUAUACGUGGAAUACAAGCAAAUGGGUCAUGUUUAGUGCAGAGCCCUACAGGGAUCUGUUGCCUCCUAAGCCUGAAGGGACAAGGAGAGGCCAGAAUUUCUGGAACCCUGAGAGGGUAGCUGUAGAGAGAUAGUUGCCUGACAGUCGCCGAAGCCUUCCACAGAUGACACAGUCAGCUCCUGGUGACCCAACGGGGAGGGCGCCAGGGGUAUAAAAGCCUUAGCAUCUCUGUUCUCUUGCCAUCUGGUCAACUGCUGGUGCCUCCCUUUGUCCAGUCCCAACUGACAGCAAAAGAGAAGGGGGCAUUAAUUGAUUCCCUACAGGUUAACCUCCAAAGGCAUAGCCAAAGUUGGUUGUAGGGGCACAUAAGUGGCCUUAUUCUGGGCAGAGCUGGCUGGGGUUAGAUGGAGGCAUAGUAACACUUCUUGUGACAACCAUGUAUAAUUGUCACCCUUUCCAAUUAAUAGGCCACAGUCAUGUGCGUGAGCUCAUCAAGGAUACAUAUCAGCUCCAAGGAAGUUACUGGUGGUCCCAUUUUCUAGACAAGGCAACUGGUGCUUCUAUAGCUGAACCCUCCAGGCCAACCACCUACAUAUCCUCUUCACCUUCACAAAUCUGCAUUUCUCUGGAGGAGGGAAAACAAGUGUGCCUUCUCCUUUCCAGGCAUGAAGGUGACAGGGAACUCAAGAGAGACCAGAGACACAAUAUUCUUUCUACUUCUGGUGAGCAUUCUGGGCAUUUUGUUUAAAGGGUCAAGAGAUUGACCUUUGACAUAGAAAACAAACCUAUGGUUACCAAAGGGGAAAGGGCGGGAGGAGGGAUAAAUUAGGAGUUUGGGAUGAACAUAUACACACUACUAUAUAUAAAAUAGAUAACCAACAAGGACCUACAGUAGAGCACAGGGAAUUAUACUCAAUAUCUUGUAAUAACCUAUAAAGGAAAAGAAUCUGAAAAAGAAUAUAUAUAUGUAUGUGUGUGUGUAAAACUGAGUCACUUUGCUGUACACCUGAAACUAACACGACAUUGUAAAUCCAAUAUUCUUAAAUUUUUUUAAAAAAGAGAGACUGACCUUUAAUCAAUAACAGUAAUAUAAAUGCCUAAUUUUAUUGAGUGUUUACUGUAUGUCAGACACUGUGCCAAGCACUUUCUGUGCAUUUUAUCCUCACAACAGCUCUGGGUAGGAGGCAUUCAUUGACUACCUCUUUCACGUGGGGAAACUGAGGUUGGACACACUGUAACUUGCUCAGGCAUGGAAUUUGAAACCGGGGAGUCUGGCCCCUGUUUCCAGCCUCUAUGCUAUAGCAGGGAAAGGAAUAGAAGAGGUACCGUCCCUGAGUUUUGCCACUU
Molecule: long non-coding RNA, 1698 nt
Filed under: Delphinapterus leucas (beluga whale)
Lineage: Eukaryota; Metazoa; Chordata; Mammalia; Artiodactyla; Monodontidae
Description: lncRNA (ENSDLEG00000021695.1)
Source: RNAcentral